GGCUAUGAUAUGUGAGAGUGGAGAAUGGGGUGGGUGGGUGGAGCACAUGCCAGAUAAGGAUCUAUCAGCAAUGGGAGGGGGCCUCCACUUUAGCAUCUCCACCCUGUUCCUCUCAGAGGACCACAUUUCAUUGCAUUCAGCUGUGAUGGUAGCAAGAACACAGGCACCCUGAGGACGAGGAGUGCGGGAGCCUUGUGCUUUCUCUGCAUAUGAGGCAGGACAGCACAGGGUACAGAGCAGUCUGCAGAGAGGCCAGCUCAUCAGGGAAGCACUUGUCUUCCACCUUGGGCUUUGACUCAGCACUGGGCAAUUGGCCCCUGGGGAUCAACGGUAUAAUCCUUAGCAGAGUGACUCUAUGUCACACUAUGGAAUGUUCCAAGUAGGUGGCCAUGUUUUCAGAAGAUGUCUUUUCCUCCUUUUGUUGUUGCCAUUUCAUAGGUUUAGGUUUGGGUGUAUGUUUCUCCUCUCUGAAUGGCACUCGAAUGUUUGCUGACCCUUACUCUGUGUGACUGGGGCGUACAGCUAUGGACUGAGUAUGAAAGAUGAUCAAAGAUCUUUCAUGAUCAAAGCAGUCUCUUCUUUUCUGACAGCUGAAGAAGCAUCUGUAGGGAAUCCAGAAGGAGCGUUCAUGAAGGUGUUACAAGCCCGGAAGCAGCACACGAGCACUAAGCUGACUAUUGAGUCGGAGGCGCCCUCAGACAGCAGUGGCAUCAAGUUGUCAGGCUUUGGGAGUGAUCAGUUUGAAAUUCAGCUAACCCAGGAGCUACGGUCCCUCAUCCCCAACGAGGAUGUGAGAAGGUUCAUGUCUCAUAUUAUCCGGACCUUGAAAAUGGAAUGUUCACAAAUGCAUGUGCAAGUGACCUGUGCCAAGCUCAUGUCGCGAACAGGACUCCUGAUGAAACUUCUCAGCGAGCAGCAGGAAGCAAAGCCAUCAAAGGCAGAGUGGGAUAUGGACCACCAGAAAUCUAAUUAUAUUAAUGAGAACAUGGAACAGAGUGAACAGAAACAGCAGAAGUCAAGUGAGCUCAUGAAAGAGGUUCCAGGAUAUGGCUAUAACAACAAACUCAUCUUGGCAAUAUCUGUGACUGUAAUACUAACAAUUUUGAUUAUAAUUUUUUGUCUUAUUGAGAUUCAUUCGCACAAAAGGGCAUCAGAGGAAGAUAAAGAAGAUCCAUCAGUGUCAGGCCCCUGAGCCCAAGUUAAGGCAUCUGGAUGGCCUGGAGCCAUGUUUUUAAAAUUUUAUUAUUAAAUAUUGUUUUUUUUAACUGGUUAAAUCAAUGAAAA
This 1284-nucleotide small RNA is filed under the name Pongo abelii (Sumatran orangutan). Its description in RNAcentral is "retained intron". Lineage: Eukaryota; Metazoa; Chordata; Mammalia; Primates; Hominidae. The record is from RNAcentral.